GGUGGGGUCAGGUGCUAAGCAGGUAGGACCUUAGGAUCUUCAAACCUGUUUCCAUGGGACUAGCUCCUUGCUUUUGUUUGUUUGUUUGUUUGUUUGCUUAAUGAAAUAAUAAUUUGUGCCAUAUAUAUAUAUUUCACUGUUCUUAAAAGUUACAAAACCAUGGCUGCAGACCAAGUCAGCCCUUAGACAAAGAAGCCCCAACCAGUUUCAUAGUCAGAAGUCAAACAGAGUUGGGGAAUGUUACAGUUGGGAAUGUUACAGUUGGGGAAUGGAAGCAGAUGAGCUUCCAUAUGGAAAAUUCUUCUUCUAUUAGAAUCCUAAGGAGAACAGAAUGGACUAGAAUCCGGGCCUUUGGCAAUGUCUAAGGAUGCUCGCAUCGCCCACAGAAGGAGUAGCUGCCAUGUCUUAGAGACGCACCUCCCUCUUGGACCACACAACAGAAGUUUAUCAGUGGAUGGGAUUUCAAAGCCGUGGUUGGAAGACAGAACCUAGCAACUCAACAAAGCCCUUGACAAGAGAAUAUAAAGUGAUAUGAAAUCAAGUGUUGAAUGGGGUGUUAGGAGGGCCCCUGCAACAUGAGAAGCAUCCCACAAAUGACUCUGGUUAAUAUUUAAAACUCACUGGGAGUGUUCUUCCCCAAAUCAUGUAAGA
Molecule: long non-coding RNA, 651 nt
Filed under: Mustela putorius furo (domestic ferret)
Lineage: Eukaryota; Metazoa; Chordata; Mammalia; Carnivora; Mustelidae
Description: lncRNA (ENSMPUG00000030609.1)
Source: RNAcentral